GAGUUUGAUCUUGGCUCAGAUUGAACGCUGGCGGCAGGCCUAACACAUGCAAGUCGAGCGGUAGAGAGAAGCUUGCUUCUCUUGAGAGCGGCGGACGGGUGAGUAAUGCCUAGGAAUCUGCCUGGUAGUGGGGGAUAACGCUCGGAAACGGACGCUAAUACCGCAUACGUCCUACGGGAGAAAGCAGGGGACCUUCGGGCCUUGCGCUAUCAGAUGAGCCUAGGUCGGAUUAGCUAGUUGGUGAGGUAAUGGCUCACCAAGGCGACGAUCCGUAACUGGUCUGAGAGGAUGAUCAGUCACACUGGAACUGAGACACGGUCCAGACUCCUACGGGAGGCAGCAGUGGGGAAUAUUGGACAAUGGGCGAAAGCCUGAUCCAGCCAUGCCGCGUGUGUGAAGAAGGUCUUCGGAUUGUAAAGCACUUUAAGUUGGGAGGAAGGGCAGUAAAUUAAUACUUUGCUGUUUUGACGUUACCGACAGAAUAAGCACCGGCUAACUCUGUGCCAGCCGCCG
Molecule: ribosomal RNA, 513 nt
Filed under: uncultured bacterium
Lineage: Bacteria
Description: bacterial SSU rRNA
Rfam family: Bacterial small subunit ribosomal RNA
Source: RNAcentral